RNAcentral lists this ribosomal RNA (402 nucleotides) under uncultured bacterium. RNAcentral's name for it is "bacterial SSU rRNA". It matches the Rfam family "Bacterial small subunit ribosomal RNA", at positions 355 to 774 of the family's 1533-position model. The record is from RNAcentral.
UCGGGAAUUUUGGGCAAUGGGCGAAAGCCUGACCCAGCAACGCCGCGUGAGGGAUGAAGUAUUUCGGUAUGUAAACCUCGAAAGAAUGGGAAGAAUAAAUGACGGUACCAUUUAUAAGCUCCGGCUAACUACGUGCCAGCAGCCGCGGUAAUACGUAGGGAGCAAGCGUUGUUCGGAUUUACUGGGCGUAAAGGGUGCGUAGGCGGCGCGGUAAGUCACUUGUGAAAUCUCUGAGCUUAACUCAGAACGGCCAAGUGAUACUGCUGUGCUAGAGUGCGGAAGAGGCCACCGGAAUUCUUGGUGUAGCGGUGAAAUGCGUAGAUAUCAAGAGGAACACCUGAGGCGAAGGCGGGUUGCUGUGCCGACACUGACGCUGAUGCGCGAAAGCCAGGGGAGCAAACG